RNAcentral lists this long non-coding RNA (1125 nucleotides) under Nicotiana tabacum (common tobacco). RNAcentral describes it as "long non-coding RNA (NTAB_LNC005240)". The record is from RNAcentral. Lineage: Eukaryota; Viridiplantae; Streptophyta; Magnoliopsida; Solanales; Solanaceae.
CCCAACCCUCUUUCACAAUAUCACCACGCCUCCAACACAGUCAACCAGAUCCAUAUCCUUAUGCCCUCAUCUACUAACACCACACCACAUUACAUCAUACCCUACCCAAUUACGAUCACCCACUCUGAUAAACUUACUCCGUCUGCUACAGGUACUCAAGUGCCAUCGGAACUCAUGAACGCUCAACAUUUUUCGGUCACCUUGUCACCGCCAAUGCAAGGUAAUGACUCAUCCAUAGCUAUAAAACCCAAUAAUCCCAUCCAUACAUCACCACAUCUGCUAUCUUCUUCACCCAACACUCCUCUUUCUACUAACAAUGCAUCGCCACUACCCUCCAAGACAUUGCCACCACAAGAACAGGAACCAUGUACCUCACAUCCAGAUCAACAACUACCACCUUUCACCUCCACACUUUCACUACCUCUCUCACAGCCCCUCCUACUGGGUGCCCCAAUAUCACCGCCACCCCCUUUCAACCUUGUACCACUACCACCACCAGAACAUCCUCUAGUGCACCUGCCGUUAAACCUUCUCUUAUUCCAGCAACAAGUCACGACAAUACUAGACCACAACGACCUACUGAUGACGUUUAUCUAGGAUGGACUACCAGACAUCCAUCAGCAGGAUCAUGCUAUGCAAAUCCUCCAUCUAUAGGAUGUUGCCGCUUUGGAACUCAACAACCAACUUACUUAAGCUCAGCAAUAUUUCCUCCACUUCAACUACUGCCGCCAACUUUGAAUAUACCCCCACUUCCAUAAUUCUAGCCCUAUUACAAUGGCCAGCCUCAACACGUAUUCCUAGAAAUGAUGCACCACGCUCCACCAUAGCUGGACAUCCCUCCGCGACCACUGACUCUGCCUCCAUCACCACCAUUAGCCACGCCAUCAUCGGACAUUGAAGACGAAGAUCAGAACCAUCAGUCUCUACAUUACACAUUUAUGGAGAGACUGAAUCUGAACAACCUCUCACUCUUUCCAUGCAAGAAAACAUCGAAAGAAGGUACUUGAUUUUGGAUCCUCCAAUGUUGGAGAUGACCUUCUUGAAUAUCCACCUCGACCCUUACUCUGUGGACCAGAAGUAUGUCAUCUUCUUGAUACCAACACUGCGUCCACCACCACUACCUCA